GAUGAAGAACGUAGCGAAAUGCGAUAAGUAGUGUGAAUUGCAGAAUUCAGUGAAUCAUCGAAUCUUUGAACGCACAUUGCGCCCUUUGGUAUUCCAUGGGGCAUGCCUGUUCGAGCGUCAUUUGUACCUUCAAGCUUUGCUUGGUGUUGGGUGUUUGUCUCGCCUUUGCGUGUAGACUCGCCUUAAAAUAAUUGGCAGCCGGCGUAUUGAUUUCGGAGCGCAGUACAUCUCGCGCUUUGCACUCAUAACGACAGCGUCCAAAAGUACAUUUUACACUCUUGACCUCGGAUCAGGUAGGGAUACCCGCUGAACUUAAGCAUAUCAAUAAGCGGAGGA
This 336-nucleotide unclassified non-coding RNA is filed under the name soil metagenome. RNAcentral's name for it is "partial contains 5.8S ribosomal RNA, internal transcribed spacer 2, and large subunit ribosomal RNA". The stretch from base 1 to 120 matches the Rfam family "5.8S ribosomal RNA", at positions 35 to 154 of the family's 154-position model. The record is from RNAcentral.